RNAcentral lists this ribosomal RNA (793 nucleotides) under uncultured bacterium. Its description in RNAcentral is "bacterial SSU rRNA". It matches the Rfam family "Bacterial small subunit ribosomal RNA", at positions 8 to 796 of the family's 1533-position model. The record is from RNAcentral.
AGAGUUUGAUCCUGGCUCAGGAUGAACGCUAGCGGCAGGCUUAACACAUGCAAGUCGAGGGGCAGCACGGGUAGCAAUACUUGGUGGCGACCGGCGCAAGGGUGCGUAACGCGUGAGCAACAUGCCCGUAUCAGGGGGAUAAUCCAUGGAAACGUGGUCUAAUACCCCAUAGUAAGUUUUUGGGGCAUCUCAAAGAUUUUAAAGCUUUGGUGGAUACGGAUUGGCUCGCGUGACAUUAGCUAGAUGGUAAGGUAACGGCUUACCAUGGCUAUGAUGUCUAGGGGUUCUGAGAGGAAGGUCCCCCACACUGGAACUGAGACACGGUCCAGACUCCUACGGGAGGCAGCAGUGAGGAAUAUUGGACAAUGGAUGGAAAUCUGAUCCAGCCAUGCCGCGUGCAGGAAGACGGCCCUAUGGGUUGUAAACUGCUUUUGUAUGGGAGCAAUAAGGGCUACGUGUAGUCCGAUGAGAGUACCAUACGAAUAAGCACCGGCUAACUCCGUGCCAGCAGCCGCGGUAAUACGGAGGGUGCAAGCGUUAUCCGGAUUUAUUGGGUUUAAAGGGUGCGUAGGCGGUUUGAUAAGUCAGCGGUGAAAUAUUUCAGCUUAACUGGAAGGGUGCCGUUGAUACUGUCGAGCUUGAAUUUAGUUGCUGUGGGUGGAAUGUGUGGUGUAGCGGUGAAAUGCAUAGAUAUCACACAGAAUAUCGAUUGCGAAGGCAGCUCACAAAGCUAAUAUUGACGCUGAUGCACGAAAGUGUGGGGAUCAAACAGGAUUAGAUACCCUGGUAGUCG